RNAcentral lists this unclassified non-coding RNA (314 nucleotides) under plant metagenome. RNAcentral's name for it is "partial contains 5.8S ribosomal RNA, internal transcribed spacer 2, and large subunit ribosomal RNA". The stretch from base 1 to 105 matches the Rfam family "5.8S ribosomal RNA", at positions 50 to 154 of the family's 154-position model. The record is from RNAcentral.
GAAAUUCGAUAAUUAAUGUGAAUUGCAGAAUUCAGUGAAUCAUCGAGUCUUUGAACGCACAUUGCGCCCCCUGGUAUUCCGGGGGGCAUGCCUGUCCGAGCGUCAUUGCUGCCCUCAAGCACGGCUUGUGUGUUGGGCUUCCGUCCCUGGCAACGGGGACGGGCCCAAAAGGCAGUGGCGGCACCAUGUCUGGUCCUCGAGCGUAUGGGGCUUUGUCACCCGCUCCCGUAGGUCCAGCUGGCAGCUAGCCUCGCAACCAAUCUUUUUAACCAGGUUGACCUCGGAUCAGGUAGGGAUACCCGCUGAACUUAAGC